This 487-nucleotide ribosomal RNA is filed under the name uncultured bacterium. Its description in RNAcentral is "bacterial SSU rRNA". It matches the Rfam family "Bacterial small subunit ribosomal RNA", at positions 27 to 507 of the family's 1533-position model. The record is from RNAcentral.
GAUUGAACGCUGGCGGCAUGCUUUACACAUGCAAGUCGAACGGCAGCACGGGUGCUUGCACCUGGUGGCGAGUGGCGGACGGGUGAGUAAUACAUCGGAACGUGUCCAGAAGAGGGGGAUAACGCAUCGAAAGAUAUGCUAAUACCGCAUAUGCUCUGAGGAGGAAAGUAGGGGAUCGAAAGACCUUACGCUUUUGGAGCGGCCGAUGUCUGAUUAGCUAGUUGGUAGGGUAAAGGCCUACCAAGGCCACGAUCGGUAGCUGGUCUGAGAGGAUGAUCAGCCACACUGGGACUGAGACACGGCCCAGACUCCUACGGGAGGCAGCAGUGGGGAAUAUUGGACAAUGGGCGCAAGCCUGAUCCAGCAAUGCCGCGUGUGUGAAGAAGGCCUGCGGGUUGUAAAGCACUUUCAGUGGGGAAGAACAGAUUCGGGUCAAUACCCCGGAGCCCUGACGUUACCCACAGAAGAAGCACCGGCUAACUCCGUG